Molecule: long non-coding RNA, 2413 nt
Filed under: Homo sapiens (human)
Lineage: Eukaryota; Metazoa; Chordata; Mammalia; Primates; Hominidae
Description: HSALNT0358598
Source: RNAcentral
AAAAAGCAUGUGAUUAUUUUUUACUCUUAAAAAAAUGUCACUAAAUAAGAUAAGGAGACUUGGCUUUGCCCUAUCUUGGGCUCCACAUGUCCUGUUUCUCACUGAGAGACCCUGGCAAGGAGUUUCUCAGUGACAAAGAAAUGGUUUCUUCUCCUCUAGUUCUGAGCUAUAAACACCUUCUCUAAUCGACAUAGAAACGGCUAAGCAGUAGAUAUUUUCAGUCAGAGUACCCCAGUUUUAGUCAUAAAUUAUAUGCCUCUCCUUUUGGAAAUAUAAGGGGUAUAAUUUUUAUUCUUGGGCAGACAUAGUCCUGUGCCCGAUACCUUAGGAAAGAGCCAAAAAGAGAAUGUGGACACAGCUUGUCAUGGUGGAUGGAGAGGAAGGAGACACCAGGGGUAGGGACUCUGUAUUCUGAAGCUCUGAGGCCACAGGAUGAAAAAUCAGAGCCAAGUGAAUGCCUUCUCUGCCUCUCCAAUCCAUGCCAACCCAGGGCUGGCUGCUCACAUGGGGUCUGCACAAACUUGAAAAUCUCCAGAUGUUUUAUAGGGGGGACAAAGCCACGCUUUCUGCUGCAACAGACUGUGAGACUUUUAGGAUGCUCACCCCAAGGCCCUUGAAAAAUGAGAGAGGGGUCUGAUUCUUUGAGAUGGGUAAGGCAGAGGCACCCCGUGGAAGUCAAGCAUUCCUUCUCUCUUCCCUCCCAAGGCCAGCAUGUAAUUUCAAAUGUCCAGUCCAUCCAUGAACAAUAUGUUAGCCUUUGGCCAGGCGGUGAGCUUCCAAAAUGCAAACAUCUCAGCCUCUGUCUGCAGAGGUGAGAAUUCAGCUUGGCAGAGGAAUGGGACACUGUCAAGGAAGACAAGCUUUUGGAGUCAGACAAUCCCAGGUUUGCAUAUUGGCCUUGUUUUGUUGGUUUGUUUUGCUUUGUGUUAAAAUCUAAUUUAUUCUGCAAACUACAGCAGGUUAGUUAAUCCUUUGAAACCUCAGGUUUCUGAGCUAUAAUACAGGAAUAAUUAUAAGUGCUUUGCAGCAGAUUUGUGAGGAUUCUGAGAGUUGUUGGAUGUGUCUAGCACAUUCCUUCUAACUUAUAAAGCAUUAUAUGCCAAGUAUGAAUCUAAGUAAUGCACAUGCCCUAAUCUUUUCCAUCCUUACAACUAUUUAUAGCACUGCCCCCAUAUGGCAAAUGAAGGCUCAGAGAGGUCAAGGCACCUGCCCACAGUCACAAAGUCAGUAAGCAGCUGAUUCUGGAGCUGGUGCUCUCACCACAGGGACUGCUAUAUACCCAUAGUGGAAGCCUGGGGCUAGGAAUGAAGAUCUGUGUUCAUUCAUUCAUUCAUUCAUUCAUUCAACAAUUCACCUGGGCAUCUCUGAGAGAGGAUUACUCACAACAGGUUCUCAGACAAAAAAAAAAAUACAAUCUCUCCUUCCAGGAGUUGAAGAUCUCUCAGGGGAAACAGACAAGUACCCAAAACUAAAUCAAGGUAGAAUAUGACACCAGGGAGGAAGAGAGUAUGGCAGAGGACCUGUUAAAUGGCAGGAACAGACUGAUUUAAUGAAGGUGGUGGUAUUUCUGCUGAGCCUCAAAGGAUAGGCAUGAUUUUGACAGAUGCACUCAGCCUGGUUCAGUCCAAAUUAGGGCCCCCUUGUUCUUUCUCAUCACAACCCAUUCAUUUCCUUUGUUGGACUCACUGUGAUUUUAAUUUCACAGCUAUUUGCUGAUUUAUUUGUUCAAUGCUGGUCUCCCACACUAGACCAUGAGCAGGAAGGAGAGGCAGCAUGCAACUGUGCUCGUUGUCUACACAGGGCCUAGCACUGGGCCUGGGCCAGGGCAGGCACCUGGGAGGGCCUUGGUUUCUGAGGCUGAGAGAGGAUAAGCUAAGCAAGGGGCAGAACAGGACACCAACCAUCUCCAGACCCCAGUACAACACAGAUGGCAGGCCAAAGAGGGACUGUGUCGUCUGAUUCAAGAGUACAGACUACACAGCCAGAAUAAUCGGGGCCUGGCUUGGACUCUCUUUAAAUAUUCAUUCCUCAUCUGUAAAAUGAGCAUAUGAGUCCCACUUCACCAGACUGUAGGACAUACGUGAAGGACUCUGCAGUGUCUGGAACAUAUUUAUGGCCCCUGAAAUAAACAGUUAUUGAUGACAGAGAUGAAAAGAAGAAGAUCCAAUGGAGUAAUCUUCAAGGCCUGCUUCAAGUCUUGCCUUGAUUGCUGCAAGAGAGAAGGUCACCUAUCUCCCCAGGUAGCCUCUCUCACCCUGACAAUGUAUCUUCACAGGUAAGGGACAAAGACAAGACUAGAAAUCAUCCCUCUGCCCACCUCAAGACAAAUGCAGAUCUGACUUCUUCUUCCUCUACUCUAUGUUUACUUUAUCUUAUGUAAAAUACAAGAUUUACUGAGCAGGAGCCGAAUGCA